AAGGAGUCGUAUUCGUAUGCGAGUGUUCGGGUGUAAAACCCCAACGCGUAAUGAAAGUGAAUGCAGGUGAGAGCUUCGGAGCAUCACAGACAGAUACUGAUAUUCUCGGAUGGAUUUGAGUAAGAGCAUAUGUGUCCGGACCCGAAAGAAGGUGAACUAUGCCUGUAUAGGGUGAAGCCAGAGGAAACUCUGGUGGAGGCUCGCAGCGGUUCUGACGUGCAAAUCGAUCGUCAAAUAUGGGCAUGGGGGCGAAAGACUAAUCGAACCUUCUAGUAGCUGGUUUCCUC
RNAcentral lists this unclassified non-coding RNA (287 nucleotides) under uncultured fungus. Its description in RNAcentral is "partial contains 5.8S rRNA, ITS2 and 28S rRNA". It matches the Rfam family "Eukaryotic large subunit ribosomal RNA", at positions 668 to 961 of the family's 3401-position model. Lineage: Eukaryota; Fungi. The record is from RNAcentral.